GUGUUUUAUGGAGGAUUAGAGCUGAGAUCCUACAGCUGACAGUUCUGACUGAUUGGACGCCACACAGAUAGCAGGGCCUUUAAUGGAUCUGCACUGGGAGAAGCAGCACAGGGAGGGAGUGAAAGUAGCAGUUCCUCCUUAAGGUCAGAGAUUGCAGCAUCUGAGGGCCUCUUCAAAAGAAGACAUAGUUGAUGAAGGCGUUCUGGAGCAGGGCCAGAAAGACCACGACCAAGCAGCCUUGAGAUCUUAGGCAGCGUCUCCCUCAGACCAAAGAACUACAGACUCUUCACAACCUGCUCAAACUCUUGGUACAGGACCUCACCACACGGGUCAAGAAGGUUUCCAUCUCAUUUCUACUCUGAAGCUCACCUUCUCCUGCUCAAACUGCUGACAAAUGUUUCUGCUGCUGUAAGGUCUGGUAUCCAGAACUUCCUAAAAACUCUGAAAGUCUCUUCUGCUGCAGGUUGCUUUGUAGAACUGUUGCAGAAAACCUCACUAAACCACACGGAGGAGCCUCAAGAUAGUCGUCCAAAUGAAACCAUACAAAAACCAAACUAGCACAACCCAAACGCUAAAGUCUCCUGCAGCCUACCAGAGAACCUCUGAGAACAGAGAAUCAGGACAGGAACUCUUACCUUCU
This is a long non-coding RNA of Amphiprion ocellaris (clown anemonefish), 640 nucleotides long. NCBI's taxonomy places the organism in Eukaryota, Metazoa, Chordata, Actinopteri, Pomacentridae. The record is from Ensembl.